RNAcentral lists this ribosomal RNA (235 nucleotides) under uncultured bacterium. RNAcentral's name for it is "partial 16S ribosomal RNA". It matches the Rfam family "Bacterial small subunit ribosomal RNA", at positions 119 to 354 of the family's 1533-position model. The record is from RNAcentral.
GGAGAACCUGCCGUAUACUGGGGGAUAACACUUAGAAAUAGGUGCUAAUACCGCAUAAGCGCACAGCUUCGCAUGAAGCGGUGUGAAAAACUCUGGUGGUAUACGAUGGUUCCGCGUCUGAUUAGCUAGUUGGUGGGGUAAUGGCCUACCAAGGCAACGAUCAGUAGCCGGCCUGAGAGGGUGAACGGCCACAUUGGGACUGAGACACGGCCCAAACUCCUACGGGAGGCAGCAG